This 369-nucleotide long non-coding RNA is filed under the name Androctonus crassicauda. Lineage: Eukaryota; Metazoa; Arthropoda; Arachnida; Scorpiones; Buthidae. The record is from RNAcentral.
CUAGAAUAUACAGGGUCAUGCAGAUAAAUCUGGAAAUAAUUAAUGCAGGAAUUUGCGCUAUUUCCGGUUGGGCGGAAAUUUGGCUAUACUUGCAUGUGUCAUGGUAGUGACCUUGGUAGAGACUAGACAUUCACAAAAUGGCUGCCGCGUCAUCAGCACCUGCAGAGCACGAUCAGAGAGUGGCUAUAUUCGAGUCUCUUCGCACCGGAAUGUUGCCACGAGAAAUAAUCGAGUGGUUCGAUUACAAGAAGAUGCAGGUUUAUGACCUAGCGAAGAGGUUUAGGGAGUCUGAGAUGGAGGAAGUCAUUCCUGACCGGGUCAGACAUCGAAAGCAGUCUGACUGUAAAGGCGGUUUCACAUAGCCAGCGA